Molecule: ribosomal RNA, 419 nt
Filed under: bacterium
Lineage: Bacteria
Description: partial 16S ribosomal RNA
Rfam family: Bacterial small subunit ribosomal RNA
Source: RNAcentral
UGGGGGAUAUUGCACAAUGGGCGAAAGCCUGAUGCAGCGACGCCGCGUGGGGGAUGAAGGCCUUCGGGUUGUAAACUUCUUUUGCUCUGAACAAGGCAUGCUAAUGGGUGUGUUGAGUGUAGGGGUUGAUUAGCGCCGGCUAACUACGUGCCAGCAGCCGCGGUAAUACGUAGGGCGCGAGCGUUGUCCGGAAUUAUUGGGCGUAAAGGGCUUGUAGGUGGCUGGUUGCGUCUGUCGUGAAAGCUCAUGGCUUAACUGUGGGUUUGCGGUGGGUACGGGCUGGCUUGAGUGCAGUAGGGGAGGCUGGGAUUCCUGGUGUAGCGGUGGAAUGCGCAGAUAUCAGGAGGGAUACCGGUGGCGAAGGCGGGUCUCUGGGCUGUUACUGACACUGAGGAGCGAAAGCAUGGGGAGCGAACAGG